AACGGCCGCGGUAUUUUGACCGUGCAAAGGUAGCGCAAUCAAUUGUCUUUUAAAUGAAGGCCUGUAUGAAUGGCACAACGAGGGCUUAGCUGUCUCCUUUUUCCAGUCAAUGAAAUUGAUCUUCCCGUGCAGAAGCGGGAAUGCUAACAUAAGACGAGAAGACCCUAUGGAGCUUAUAAACGCAAGAGCAGUCCACGUCAAUCACUCUAACUUACUAGACUUAAACUAACUGAAGCCCUGCUCUCAUGUUUUUGGUUGGGGCGACCAUGGAGUAAAACUAAACCUCCACGCAGAACGAAAAUAUAUUAUUUUUCAAAUUAAGGGAAACAACCCUAAAUAUCAGAACAUCUGACUCUUAUUGAUCCGGCAAAGCCGAUCUACGAACCGAGUUACCCUAGGGAUAACAGCGCAAUCCUCUUUUAGAGUUCUUAUCGACAAGAGGGUUUACGACCUCGAUGUUGGACCAGGACAUCCUAAU
This 478-nucleotide ribosomal RNA is filed under the name Epiplatys infrafasciatus. RNAcentral describes it as "partial 16S ribosomal RNA". It matches the Rfam family "Bacterial large subunit ribosomal RNA", at positions 1926 to 2551 of the family's 2925-position model. The record is from RNAcentral. Lineage: Eukaryota; Metazoa; Chordata; Actinopteri; Cyprinodontiformes; Nothobranchiidae.